UAGGAGCAUUUUAAAGUGGUAUUUUAAUAGUUAAUUCCUCACAUUUUGCUUAGUUAAUUCCUUAACGAAUCGAUUUUUAACUCAAUUUCUAUUUUCUUAGGUACAUUGGAGUAAAUGAUGGUGAAAUGAGCAUUAGGUCCACACUUACCUAUAAAUGGUGGAGAAAAAUGGAAAUGUACUAAAAUGUCAAUUUUACACAUUUUCCUACUCCGGCUAGGAAAAACCAAGCCAAGCAAGGAAGAAGGAGCGGCCGCCGGACCAAAUGAACUUCAAAUGAGCUGAAACUUUCCAGAUCCAUUCUAGACAUCCUAAGGAUCGUUUCUUAUGAAGAGUGCCAGAGCUAGAAUUGAGCGGAAGGCCUUCAAACAGUCAGCCCAAUUUCCUGCAGAAGCAAAACUGGAAAACUGGACCUGUAAGAGGUCCAGCAGCAUUUUCGGCCCAACCACAUGGAAUAAAAAUAUGAAAUUUUACCAGGGUGAUCUACACUCAUAAUGGAACAUUUUUUAUGAAGAGGUCAUAGUGAAAUUGGGAAUGCUUGUUGGAGAAAUAAUUGAAGGAAUAAAGGGGCAGAAACUGAUCUAAAAACAGCUCAACACCACAUGUUCAAGUUUCCUACCCACAUGAAGAAAGCUAGAUGCUUUUCUCUUUUUCCUUGGAUAUAUUUUUCUGCUCCAAUAGAUCAUCAUCACUUCCAUACUUCUACACCUUCAUGCCUUGCUUUCAUUUCAUCAUUACUCCAUCUUUUCCAUAUUUUACAAACCACUUUCAUUAUUUUUCUUCCAUUUAUCAUUUCACUCUUCUUUUUCUUCCCUAUAUAAACACCUUCUCCUCUCACUCUAAACACAUUCCUUCAUCCAUUCCAUCUUCUUGUCUCACCAUUUCCUUUCCAUUUUCCCACACAUUCCUUCAUCCAUUCCAUCUUCUUGUCUCACCAUUUCCUUUCCAUUUUCCCACACAUUCCUUCAUCCAUUCCAUCUUCUUGUCUCACCAUUUCCUUUCCAUUUUCCAAAACAUUCCUUCAUCCAUUUCAUCUUCUUUGUCUCUCCAUUUCCAUUCCAUUUUUCUCUCCAUUCUCUAGUUGCAAAAUUCUGCGUUUUCAAGUAAGAAGAAGAAGAAGGAGCCGGGAAUAUCAUAUCCUCCAUCGUCCACCUUGAAGGCUUGCUUCCAAGAUUCAAGAUUUCAACGUUUCAAGCACUCCAUCUCCAUCUCCAACUCACGGUGUGUACCCUCAAUCCCCGGAAUAGAACGAUCCCUAUUUGCUUAUACUACUAACGAUGUUUUCAGGGUUAAAUUAUGCGCUUGCUUUGAGCGUAUCAAUUUUUGGCGCCGUUGCCGGGGAUUGAAAAAUCACUUGUUUUUGUUUUUAAUUAUUGUAUAUAAACUGUUUGAUACUUAGUUUAAAUUAACUAGGUUGUUUUGUUUUUAAUUAUUGUAUAUAAACUGUUUGAUACUUAGUUUAAAUUAACUAGGUUGUUUUUUUUUUAUUGUUGAAUACGAGUUUAAUUGUGAGUUGUAAAUUAAAGAAGGAAUAGGUGAAGUCGUGUUUAUUAAUAUUGGCCUAAACCCCUUAUUGGUACCUAGUUCAGGUCCCUUAAGGUUGAGGGCGGCCUUUAUUAACAUUCAUUGAACUGUCUAACACACUUAGGACCUUUUACAUCCUAGUAAGAAUAUCCUAUGUGAGAUGGUGUCUAGGAAGGGGACAACGUUCAUGACGGGUUUUUGAAUCCAGAAGUGCUUACAAAUGGGCCUAGCUCAUGCCAAAAUGGAUUUUUCCUCUCGUGUUCACCCUCCCCUACCUGGCCAUUUCAGUAAGGUUGCCCAACGGAUGUAGGAGGGACUUUGUGUCUAGACGACUAUACUUGGGCCGCACGUCCACUUGAUUUACCGCUUGGAAUUAGAUUUGAUAUCAAUAAUGUUUAUAACAAAAGAAAUACUUGUGCAUACUCUUUACGUGUAAAUUAUUUUGUUGUUUCACACUUUAUACUUGUAAAAAUAUUUUUUACGUUUUAUACUCACUUGUGUACUUAACUUGUGUCUUAUGUACAAAAUACUUGUUAAUUAUACUUGUAGUUUGUAAUUCAUAGUUACUUGUUUUUUUUUUUUUUUUUUUUUUUUUUUUUUUUUUUUU
Long non-coding RNA from Rosa rugosa (rugosa rose), 2128 nucleotides. RefSeq lists it as uncharacterized. The record is from RefSeq and is a predicted model, not a curated record. The transcript has 2 exons. NCBI's taxonomy places the organism in Eukaryota, Viridiplantae, Streptophyta, Magnoliopsida, Rosales, Rosaceae.